AAAAUAUGAGUUAGAAGGUAAAAUCUGUCACCACUUCCUUCUGCUCCCCAAGCAAUCCUGGCCUGGGUGA
Molecule: long non-coding RNA, 70 nt
Filed under: Calidris pugnax (ruff)
Lineage: Eukaryota; Metazoa; Chordata; Aves; Charadriiformes; Scolopacidae
Description: lncRNA (ENSCPUG00000009724.1)
Source: RNAcentral